CCUACGGGAGGCAGCAGUGGGGAAUAUUGCGCAAUGGGCGAAAGCCUGACGCAGCGACGCCGCGUGAGGGAUGAAGGUCUUCGGAUCGUAAACCUCUGUCAGCAGGGAAGAACGGUCACUGUGCUAAUCAGCAGUGAAUUGACGGUACCUGCAAAGGAAGCACCGGCUAACUCCGUGCCAGCAGCCGCGGUAAUACGGAGGGUGCGAGCGUUAAUCGGAAUUACUGGGCGUAAAGCGCUCGUAGGCGGUAUGUCAAGUCAAGGGUGAAAUCCCCGCGCUCAACGUGGGAACUGCCUUUGAAGCUGGCAAACUGGAGUGUGUGAGAGGAUAGUGGAAUUCCAGGUGUAGGAGUGAAAGCCGUAGAUAUCUGGAGGAACAUCAGUGGCGAAGGCGACUAUCUGGCACAUAACUGACGCUGAGGAGCGAAAGCGUGGGUAGCAAACAGGAUUAGAUACCCCAGUAGUC
This 465-nucleotide ribosomal RNA is filed under the name uncultured bacterium. Its description in RNAcentral is "partial 16S ribosomal RNA". It matches the Rfam family "Bacterial small subunit ribosomal RNA", at positions 338 to 795 of the family's 1533-position model. The record is from RNAcentral.